CUGAGUGAGGGAGCAAUCCCGACCUCCAACCCUUUGUGAACGCAUCAUGUUGCUUCGGGGGCGACCCUGCCGUUCGCGGCAUUCCCCCCGGAGGUAAUCAAAACACUGCAUUCUUUCGUCGGAGUAAAAAGUUAAUUUAAUA
RNAcentral lists this unclassified non-coding RNA (142 nucleotides) under uncultured Mycosphaerellaceae. Lineage: Eukaryota; Fungi; Ascomycota; Dothideomycetes; Mycosphaerellales; Mycosphaerellaceae. The record is from RNAcentral.